This 31-nucleotide non-coding RNA is filed under the name unclassified sequences. Its description in RNAcentral is "L31-Firmicutes ribosomal protein leader". It matches the Rfam family "L31-Firmicutes ribosomal protein leader". The record is from RNAcentral.
CUAUGAUUAACAUUAAUCAUGGCGGAAGGAG